ACUCUUAUCGCAGCUUUCAGUCCAGUCUGUCCCCCUCGCUCGGCACAUUCAAAGCGGUCGUCUAAAACGCGUGUCUAAGUUUCGCAUUCUUUUUUCUUUUUCAACAAGUCAGUGAAAUCAAUCGGUUCUAGAUUCCAAACCGCGACAUGAUCUAUCAUGUAAGCUCUCGCUAAACGCACCAUUUAAUUCAGUUUUGUUGCGGUUCUUUUUGGUUUUUGUAUUUUCAAUGUUUUUUCGCUAAGAGUGAGAGCGAAAGCAAGAGUGAUUGAAAGCACAGCUUGACUGAAAGAGGUGCCGGGCGAAAAGAUGCACAAGGCACAAAGGGCAAAAAGUGAGUGUAAGUGCGAGUGAAAAACGGCCUCAAAGCGAAAGGCAGAAACGACGUCCGAUUUCUGGGCAGAGCUUUGAGGCUGCAAGCAAGGCGUAACAGAAAACGAAACAGAAGAGGACACGAGAGCACGGCAGCACUGGAGCACGGAACAGGAACAGGAACAGGAACAGAAGGAGCUCUGGCCAUCAGGAUGGAGACCGAUUCAAUUAUGAUUCAUCUCUUAGGAUUUUGCUGGCGAAAUCAAUGCGAAUGGAGCGCUCAGAUGCAGUUUUUGAUUGCUGGUUUUUUGGCUGCCGCCUGGCAGCCGGCCGUAAUAAAUAUAAUUAUAAUUUAAAUGUAGUUUUAUGUGUGGGAA
Drosophila miranda is the source of this 686-nucleotide long non-coding RNA. RefSeq lists it as uncharacterized. The transcript has 3 exons. The record is from RefSeq and is a predicted model, not a curated record. NCBI's taxonomy places the organism in Eukaryota, Metazoa, Arthropoda, Insecta, Diptera, Drosophilidae.